CUGCUCCGUACUCACCUUCAUAAACUGAAACUGGGAAAUAAAUGCUGACGUAAUAGGGAUCAUCUGGUUCCUCGACUGGAAGCCUUUUUGGAGUCGUUUUUGAACAUUCGGGUGCAGACGGCCCAUCAAAAAGCUCCUCAUCGAGGGAGCCUGCGUUGUUCCAGCCUUGUCCCUUGAGUAACUGCUGCAUUCCUGUUCAACCGCAACAUCCAUCUGAGGCUUCGACCAGAAUCUUUGCUUCUCUAUGGAUUCAGCCUUGACUUUUGUGUUGUAUAAUAUAUUUUUAUUAUCUUCUUCAGGAUGCCACCUGAGGUGAGUGAUGCAGGGAUCCUCUCUCCAGCGUGUUCUCCAGGCCUCACCGCUGGCCUCAGACUUUUCAGGAGUCAUCUGUCCAGCUGCUUGGUUCUCAGAGUGCAUUUUUUCAUAUCCAGGCUGAGAAGAACACUGCAACAAUUGGGCUUGAAGAAACAAGACACAACCAGAUGAAAUGAGGCAUGUAAUUCUUAAUUUAAAAACUAUGUGCAAAUUAAACACACACACACACACAAAUUUAUAUAUAUGCUUCAAUCGCUUGUUGCUGUUUGUAUUUAUUGUCUUGGAGGAUUUUGCGCAAUCAGCUGUCGCCAACUUUGUCUAUGCAUACCUCGAUUGGAAAAGUCCCACGACUCUUUCUGAUCAAGCCUAUCCCUCCUGGAUUGGGGCUCAAUCUGGUCCUGUAAUGCGUAGGGAACAUGGGAAAGACGUGAAAGGCUCGUUUUUAGUUGAAGACCAUCAGAAGUGGAGGUGUUCGUCUUUGCCGAAAAGGAAACGGAAGUCGUUGCAGGACGUUUUACAGUUAUUCUACCCUCAUUCCUCUGCAGAUGCUGGCCGUGUUUACUCGAAGGAGGACACGGUGAUGAGCAAGCAGGGCCAAAACAUGUGGAGCUGGAGAGACAGAUAAAAAUAUUCAAGAGAACGUAUGGAAUGAGUUCACUAUUCAUAAGUGGCGGCUAUGCACUUUGUACCUUUUUGACCAACUUCAAUGGCUACUUGGCUUAUUUCGAUCCAGCUCUUAAUAACAAUACUUUCAUCUCGAAACCAAGUAUUAGUAUAUAGAAAGGCAAUACAGCAGCACAAAACGGCACCACAAACUCGUCUGUGUUGAUUACUUUUUGCUCUCGCAAAUUUAGUCUCAAAGUGUGUGCCGCUAUCUUGUGGUCAAGGGCGGUAUUACACCUCAACAGGAGCCCAAAGUAGAAAAAGGGGGGGGGGGGGGGGCGGGGUACACAUACAAGAGCGGGACUUCGAAGCCAAUGGUAUUGCUGUAAAUGUGUUUUUUUAACCACCCAAAAUACUCGAUCCAUUUAUUUAUUUUUUUACCUGUCAGCGCCCGAGAGCUUCUUUUGAUUUCUUCCGUAGGUGACACCCUCGAGCCUAUACGAAGGCAUGUCAACUCCUUUCCUUUUCAGGGGAGCAGACAAAGGAGCGGAAGAAAGGUGCGUAGGAUGAGGAAGAUGAGGAUGAUCUUUCGCUAGUUUGGAGGACGCCGACAGACGAGGGAUUAAAGGUGACAGGCGGUCAAAUACGCUCAUUCUUCUUUCGUCUGCUGCUUUUUACGUUGGGGAAAUGAGAUGGGAGUGAAACCUGAUGAAGAAUGAAAUAAAGAAACAUUUGGAGGAGGCUUGCCAGUCCUAAUGGGGAAAAAGGCAAUUAACGAAACAAAUCCAGGUGUACAAAUGCAGACCCAUUCCUCCAUUUAUUUUUAGAGGCAGACCAGCAUUUAGACUAAGUGCAAAGUUAACGUAGUCAGGCGAGUUGAACUGUGAAUAAACCAUCACAAAGAGACAUUACUCAACAUUUUAGCAUUACUGUGCUCUAAAUUGUGAGUGUGGGUGUGGAUGGUUGUUCGUCUCUGUGUGCCCUGCGAUUGGCUGGCAACUGAUUCAGGGUGUCCCCCGCCUACUGCCCAAAGACGGCUGGGAUAGGCUCCAGCACCCCCCGCGAUCCUAGUUAGGAUCAAGCGGUUCGGAAAAUGGAUGGAUGGAUGGAUGUUACACACAUUUUUACUUGAAGAACAACCGUACCUACAUCAACCGCUUUCACGACUGGAAGUGGUUCGCUUUGUCUUUCAGAGUAAGAGCAUCAAACAAGGUAGCGCCAUCUUAAAUUAACUGUGUAAAUGUUGCUAACUGAAACAGCAGUCUUAAUUUUUUGUUGGAACCGGAACCAGAUUUUGAACAAACUUGUUCAUGAACUCUGCCAGUUAUCCUAACCUGUCAUUACCUGCCACCUCACAGAUUUCUACACACACAAAAAAGCAUUUAGGAGAUUAAAUAAUAAUAAUAAUUAGAAACAUUGUUUAUAUAUUUAUUUUUACGACGGGUGUGUAUCUCUCCAAUAAAAAACGAUGCGAUAUAAUUCAAGGACGGCUGAUAUUAAAGUGGAACAAAUGCAUUUGAGACAGUAGAGUACAGUUCUCGAAGGAAUGAUGCAACUAGUUUCUUGGCAUUUUUACAAUAAUUCAGUCCUAUCUAGAACUGAACUCUACUAAUAGGACUGAGCUUGUCAGUUCUAUUGGGGUGUAACGGGCAGUUUAUUAAGUGGUUCUAACAGUGUUAGCUGUCGAAGAAUCGAGGACUGUGUCUGAAAUCUGAAUAGGCGACGGUCAUUCCCUGAUUUGACCUAUUUUGUCGUCCCCUUCUGAUUCAGAGAAAUGGUUACACACUAGUUGUACGGAAGAAUAAGUGACUCAGAAAAAAGGUUAUUACAGUUAAUGAAAAAAAAAAUUACAAUUGGAAAAACAAUUUCGUUAACAAAAUAAAAUAUUUUAGGAAAAACAAAAAGGCUGAAAAAAGAAAACUAACAGAAACUACAACUUAUGCUCAUAAAAGAAAUUAUUAUGAUUGCAUAAAUGUCGUCUUUGUCAAAUAACCUCAUAUAUGAGCGUUCAGGGUUCAUUUUAUUGUAUUUAUAUCAGCAAAACCAACUCCAAUGAAAUAUCCCAAACUAUUACAACCAUUCAUGGCAGUAAAAGUCACUAACCUGCACAUGGAGGCUGUUGUCUGGUUGUUGUCAGACUUGAGUGAGGAAAGGAGACAAAUAGUGUGACGAGAGAGGACACAGUGGGCAUUGUGGGCGGACGGACGCCAUUCUCGUGAUUCCUGCACACUGAGCCUGCACUGUUGUUUCGCACCCACACUGCAUCCUUGCCCGGAGCUCUGUCCUGCUCUUGACAUCACACAUACUCAUCACCACUUACAGAACAUAUUUUUUAUUUUUGGUGUGAAAAGAUAAGGAAGCACAUGACUCACCCACAGUCAAUACAACAAAAGAUCUCUCUGGAUGCCAUUUUCUGUGAUCUACAAACAUGCAUCUGCUACUUUUAUAGGUCACACAUUGUACUAUCGUCACUACUACACUGUCACACAAACCAUCCACAUGCGUCUCAGAAUCUGUUGUUGUAUCAAGAUUUGCAACAGGGCUGGGCAAACUUUUGGGGUUCAAGGGCCCCAUUUUAUUUUGAAAACAGACAGAUGGGGCAGGUGAUUUGUAGAAGAGGUUGGGGAGAAAAAAAAGCAAAUUUUUGUUUUAAAGGCCUAUAUAUAUAUGUUAUUAAUUUUGUUCCAUCAUUUAGUACAUUUUAACACAUAUAUUUACCAUUCACAAUAAAUCACCAAAUAAUUAAUAAAAUACCAAUGAAAAAAUACAUUCAUUAAAUAAUUUUAGCAAUGAUAACAACAACAACCAACAACAACACACAAGAGCCUAAAUUCCUGCAAGCAAUAUUACAGGACUCUUGUUCAUGUAAAUGCUUGACGGGCCAGUCUUGGCCCCGCAGGCUGUACGUUGCCCACCCCCUGAUUAACAGCGUCAACGGCUACAACAUUAAGUACACCUGAAAAUGUGAUCCAAUACAAAAGAUAAUCAUGCACAGUUUUGAUUGGUUGUGUGUUUGCAGUGGUUGUAAAAUGGCACUGUGUCAUAUGGACAUUCAGUUGUUUGUAAUAUUUGAUCUUUUGCAGCUAAAUAAGGGAACAGAAACAUGAAGAACAUAAGCGUUUUGACACCACACUAACUGCCAUGAUACACAGAUGGGGUUGUUAAACGGAACUAGAUGUGCAUGGUCGGAAGCAAUUGCAAUGAGUCCCAACGGAUAUCUUCUAAUUGUUAAUGAUGCACAGCAAAGCACAAAUUUAUUCAUUGCCUAAUUUUGGGAUGAAUGUGUAUAAAUUAAAUGGGUCUUGUUUAGCAUGAAAACUACACAAUGAUGUGGCAAAGUAAUGUUUAAUUGAAGUUACCAUGAUGCUUUCGAAUGCUUUUUCAUAAUUGUUAGAAAAUUCAACAUGUAAAAACAAAAUAAUUGUUUGUUUGUUUGUUUUUAAUUCAUAUCCCUUAACACGACUUCUCUCUUGUGUCAUUCCCAGCUAAAAAAAUAACAUUUCAACAUGUCAUUAACUGAACUCAGAGGAGGACUAUAAAUAACUUUGGGCUUACCUCUUUUGGCUCCAUUAAUAUUCACAGCCCAAGUCUAACGCAAAGGGCAGUCUGUCAGUACGCAUGGGUGGAGUUUUUGGUAUUUUGCUAGACUUUGCACAGGUAGAAUUGGGAAUAAUGGGCAUUUGUGAGAUGGUACCUAGCUGAGUCCCAGAAAUUGCAAUGGCAUCCCUUAUUGGUAUUAAAAUCAGUGCGGUCGGAUCGCACGCCAAACUUAACAUUAUGGGAAGAGAAAUUGACUAGAUGGGAUUGAAUUUAUGAGGGAAAGGCCAUUAAAAAUGGAAGAGCAUUUUAAACUAACGUUGAGAUAUCAAGUAAUGUUUGAAAAAAACCUAGCAAAUACCCCCCCACCCCCAUAUAUCUAUCUAACACGUAGAGAGAGAGAGAGAGAGAGAGAGAGAGAGAGAGAGAGAGAGAGAGAGAGAGAGAGAGAGAGAGAGAGAGAGAGAGAGAGAAGAGAGCGUGUGUGUUUAAUGACUAUACAUAGAUGAGUUUCACUUUUUGGAUUGAACUACUGAAAUAAACCUUUCGACAACCAACACAUUUAUUGAGAUGAAUCUGUUUUUGAAUAUGAUCCCAAUAAAACUGUGAGCUGUUUUAUGUGCAAAACAAAUCUCUAAAGCCAUAUAACUUAUUAUAAUUAUUCUAUAACUCGGUGGUGGCCUCGGCCAUCCAUUAUGGCAUUGUCUGCUGGUCAGGCAGCAUCUCAGCCUGGGACAAAAAGAGACUGGAGGGACUGGUCAGGAAGGCCAGUUCUGUCCUGGGUUGCUGCCUUGACACUCUGGAGGAGGUGGGCAACCGAAGGAUGCUAACUAAGCUAAAAGCUAUGAUGGGCAGUCCCUCCCACUCCCUCAAGCCUGCCCUGACAGUACUUGGUAGCUCCUUCAGCCAGAGACUGUUACACCCGCGCUGCAAGAAGGAGAGAUAACGACGCUCGUUCCUACCGACUGCUGUCAGGCUGCUGAAUAAAAAUAAUAACAAUAAUAAUAAUAAUUAAAUGAUGUGAAAGACAAUUGUAAAUGGCACUGCGAUUUAUCCAUUUUGUGUUUAUAUUGCACUUAUUUGAACGGUGUUUGUCAUUUUUUUCUUCUUCUUUCUUCUUUCUACCUACAUUCUUGCUGCUGGAGGCUGUAAAUUUCCCCAGUGUGGGACAAAUAAAGGAUAUCUUAUCUUAUCAAUAGUAGACAGUUGUAAAAAUAAAAGAUAAAUACUGGCUCUUGAUGGAUUAUGCAAGGUUGCCUGAAGUGUCUGGUUUUAUAUGCCACUUGAAAAUUAGGAAUAACUCAAUCAAAACCAUUAUAUAUGACACUUGAAAUGGUAGCCCAAACAAACAAAAAGAAAAAAACAACAGCGCAUGUUAAAAAAUGGCACAAGUGGACAAUGGCAUGUCGACAUCAAGCCUAUCAAAGGCCAUCAUGGCCCUCCACAAUCUCGUUUUGGCAUAAUUUACAGUCAAACUCAUCUGUUUCACUUCAGUCUGAUUCACCCCGGGAUUAAAAAAAAAAAAAAACCCACAAUAUGUUUGGGAUCAGAGAAAAGUUGGUGUGACGGGAUAA
This is a long non-coding RNA of Hippocampus zosterae (dwarf seahorse), 6029 nucleotides long. RefSeq lists it as uncharacterized. Lineage: Eukaryota; Metazoa; Chordata; Actinopteri; Syngnathiformes; Syngnathidae. The record is from RefSeq and is a predicted model, not a curated record. The transcript is spliced from 2 exons.